RNAcentral lists this transfer RNA (72 nucleotides) under Dilophus febrilis. Its description in RNAcentral is "tRNA-Val". The record is from RNAcentral. Lineage: Eukaryota; Metazoa; Arthropoda; Insecta; Diptera; Bibionidae.
CAAUUUAAAUCUUAAUUAGUUAAGUUUUUUAUUUACAUUAAAAAUAAAUUUGUGCAAAUCAAAUUAAAUUGA